GUCUCGGGAUCCAUUGGCAUCCCAGAUUUUCACUCCCUUGGAAGACAGCUCUUUAGCAUUUGUGGAUCCCUGGAAGAGAUGGGGAGAGCAGAACAGGCAUCCAGUGCAGGUGCAUCAACUCCUGUAUUUGAUCGAGUCACCAAUGGAGUAACUCCAACUAUCAAGGCUGGAGUACAGUGCCACAAUCUCAGCUCACUACAACCUCCGCCUCGUGAGCAAUUCUCACGCCUCAGCCUCCUGAGUAGCUGGGAUUACAGGCAUGCACCAGCACACCUGGCUCAUUUUUUGUGUUAUUAGUAGAGACUAGGGUUUCACCAUGUUGGCCAGGCUGGUCUCAAAUUCCUAACCUCAGGUGAUCUGCCUCGGCCUCCCAAAGUGCUGGGAUUACAGGCGUGAGCCACCACACCUGGCCGCUUUGGCUUUUGAAAGGAUCUCACUGGCUGCUGUGUUGAGAACAGACUACUGACUUCUAAUAGCAGCGACUUCUUUACCUUGAUAAACCACAGCAACUCCUCCAAAACACCCUUCCAGAACACACGUUUGGUUGUCAGCAGAGGAAAUUCAUCUGAAAAACAAUUUGCCAUACGGUUUCAAGAUGGGAAGACAGAUCAUGCCAUCCAGGGAAGAAAACUGCCCUGGGACGUGAGGCCCUGGAGCAUCCAGAAAGCCUAGACUCCCGCAAAGUGGGCCAGAGGUCAGGGUGGAGCUCCCAGGCUGCAAGUCACAUCAGUGACCCAAUUCAGGCUGAGACAGCACUUCUGUGCCCCGGUGACCACUGGACACAGGAAUUCCACACACUGAGAUGGUGGUGAGGGCAGGGAUGACCAUGUGGAAAAAGGGAGGAGCUAUCGUCCACUGCCCACUAGUGCUCAUCCUGUCACAAAGGUGUGAAGACAACACCAAGCAUGUGUCCCAGGAACAAAAAGGGAGGCAUCAGAAGUGUCGAGCCACAGAGAAAUAAAAGUGUAAAAACUUA
Molecule: long non-coding RNA, 976 nt
Organism: Symphalangus syndactylus (siamang)
Lineage: Eukaryota; Metazoa; Chordata; Mammalia; Primates; Hylobatidae
Source: RefSeq, a predicted model, not a curated record